UUGAUCCCGCCGGACCUGACUGCUAUCGGAUUGAUACUAAGCCAUGCGAGUCUUUGUAGUAAUACAAGGCAGACGGCUCAGUAACACGUAGUCAACCUACCCUAUGGACGAGAAUAAUCUUGGGAAACUGAGCAUAAUUCUUGAUAGAUCAUAAUGCCUGGAAUGGUUUAUGGUUAAAAUGAUUCGUCGCCAUAGGGUGGGACUGCGGCCUAUCAGCUUGUUGGUGAGGUAAUGGCCCACCAAGGCGAUUACAGGUACGGGCUCUGAGAGGAGAAGCCCGGAGAUGGGUACUGAGACACGGACCCAGGCCCUAUGGGGCGCAGCAGGCGAGAAAACUUUGCAAUGUGCGAAAGCACGACAAGGUUAAUCCGAGUGAUUUCUGCUAAAGAAAUCUUUUGCCAGUCGUAAAACCGCUGGUGAAUAAGGGGUGGGCAAGUUCUGGUGCCAGCAGCCGCGGUAAU
Molecule: ribosomal RNA, 461 nt
Filed under: uncultured archaeon
Lineage: Archaea
Description: bacterial SSU rRNA
Rfam family: Archaeal small subunit ribosomal RNA
Source: RNAcentral